RNAcentral lists this ribosomal RNA (1346 nucleotides) under uncultured bacterium. Its description in RNAcentral is "partial 16S ribosomal RNA". It matches the Rfam family "Bacterial small subunit ribosomal RNA", at positions 28 to 1381 of the family's 1533-position model. The record is from RNAcentral.
GACGAACGCUGGCGGCGUGCUUAACACAUGCAAGUCGAACGGAAAGGCCCUGCUUUUGUGGGGUGCUCGAGUGGCGAACGGGUGAGUAACACGUGAGUAACCUGCCCUUGACUUUGGGAUAACUUCAGGAAACUGGGGCUAAUACCGGAUAGGAGCUCCUGCUGCAUGGUGGGGGUUGGAAAGUUUCGGCGGUUGGGGAUGGACUCGCGGCUUAUCAGCUUGUUGGUGGGGUAGUGGCUUACCAAGGCUUUGACGGGUAGCCGGCCUGAGAGGGUGACCGGCCACAUUGGGACUGAGAUACGGCCCAGACUCCUACGGGAGGCAGCAGUGGGGAAUAUUGCACAAUGGGCGGAAGCCUGAUGCAGCAACGCCGCGUGCGGGAUGACGGCCUUCGGGUUGUAAACCGCUUUCGCCUGUGACGAAGCGUGAGUGACGGUAAUGGGUAAAGAAGCACCGGCUAACUACGUGCCAGCAGCCGCGGUGAUACGUAGGGUGCGAGCGUUGUCCGGAUUUAUUGGGCGUAAAGGGCUCGUAGGUGGUUGAUCGCGUCGGAAGUGUAAUCUUGGGGCUUAACCCUGAGCGUGCUUUCGAUACGGGUUGACUUGAGGAAGGUAGGGGAGAAUGGAAUUCCUGGUGGAGCGGUGGAAUGCGCAGAUAUCAGGAGGAACACCAGUGGCGAAGGCGGUUCUCUGGGCCUUUCCUGACGCUGAGGAGCGAAAGCGUGGGGAGCGAACAGGCUUAGAUACCCUGGUAGUCCACGCUGUAAACGGUGGGUACUAGGUGUGGGGUCCAUUCCACGGGUUCCGUGCCGUAGCUAACGCUUUAAGUACCCCGCCUGGGGAGUACGGCCGCAAGGCUAAAACUCAAAGGAAUUGACGGGGCCCCGCACAAGCGGCGGAGCAUGCGGAUUAAUUCGAUGCAACGCGUAGAACCUUACCUGGGUUUGAUAUGGAUCGGGAGUGCUCAGAGAUGGGUGUGCCUCUUUUGGGGUCGGUUCACAGGUGGUGCAUGGCUGUCGUCAGCUCGUGUCGUGAGAUGUUGGGUUAAGUCCCGCAACGAGCGCAACCCUUGUUCACUGUUGCCAGCACGUUAUGGUGGGGACUCAGUGGAGACCGCCGGGGUCAACUCGGAGGAAGGUGGGGAUGACGUCAAGUCAUCAUGCCCCUUAUGUCCAGGGCUUCACGCAUGCUACAAUGGCUGGUACAGAGAGUGGCGAGCCUGUGAGGGUGAGCGAAUCUCGGAAAGCCGGUCUCAGUUCGGAUUGGGGUCUGCAACUCGACCUCAUGAAGUCGGAGUCGCUAGUAAUCGCAGAUCAGCAACGCUGCGGUGAAUACGUUCCCGGGGCU